This is a long non-coding RNA of Ictalurus punctatus (channel catfish), 660 nucleotides long. The record is from Ensembl. Lineage: Eukaryota; Metazoa; Chordata; Actinopteri; Siluriformes; Ictaluridae.
AAAAUCGAAGAGGCAGGAAAAGACUGUAGAGCAGACGGAGGCCACGCCUCCGUCACCGAAGCCGACGACCAGAGGCCACGCCUCUGUCACUGAAGCCAACGGCCAGAGGUCACGCCUCCGUCUCGGAAGCCGAAGGCCAGAGGCCACGCCUCCGUCACUGAAGCCGACGACCAGAGGCCAUGCCUCCGUCACUGAAGCCGACUGCCAGAGGCCACGCCUCCGUCACUGAAACCGACAGCCGGAGGCCACGCCUCCGUCACUGAAACCGACAGCCGGAGGCCACGCCUCCGUCUCGGAAGCCGACGGCCAGAGGCCACGCCUCCGUCACUGAAACCGACGGCCAGAGGCCACGCCUCCGUCACUGAAGCCGACGGCCAGAGGCCACGCCUCCGUCACUGAAGCCGACGGCCAGAGGCCACGCCUCCUUCACUGAAACCGACGCCUAAAGGCCACAUCUGAGAUGUUUUACACAAUGCCCAUCAACAUGGGAAAGUGUUUAAGGAGGGAAAAACCCAGCUAGAAGAAGAUACCCUAUGCCCAGGCAAGCUGGGUGUUAUAUACACUUCCAAUUUGUUCUUCCCCGCAGAUAAUAGCAGUGUUUAAUUUAGACAAAAGCAGUAUCAGGUAUCGCAGGGGAUGGUGGGGAAAACCCGGCAUCAG